Molecule: transfer RNA, 72 nt
Organism: Gregarina niphandrodes
Lineage: Eukaryota; Apicomplexa; Conoidasida; Eugregarinorida; Gregarinidae
Rfam family: tRNA
About the family: Transfer RNA (tRNA) molecules are approximately 80 nucleotides in length. Their secondary structure includes four short double-helical elements and three loops (D, anti-codon, and T loops).
Source: Rfam
GCCUUCUUGGCUUAAGGGCAGAGCGUUCGCUUAGUUAACGAAAGGUUGCCGGACCGAUUCCGGCAGAAGGCU